Molecule: RNA transcript, 1598 nt
Organism: Arabidopsis lyrata subsp. lyrata
Lineage: Eukaryota; Viridiplantae; Streptophyta; Magnoliopsida; Brassicales; Brassicaceae
Gene name: protein TRIGALACTOSYLDIACYLGLYCEROL 2, chloroplastic
Exons: 5
Source: RefSeq, a predicted model, not a curated record
CGUCACAAGCUUCGAGCCCAGGUAUUCUCCAAAAACCCUAAUUUCGACUUGUAAUUCGAUCGGUAAAGUAGAAGCUUCACGCAAUUCGCAUGUUUCUUUCUCUUUCUAACUACAGCUCGGAAACAAAAUUGGAACUUGCAACAUAAAGUUUAGUUUUUUAUUGAAUUUGGAAGAUGAUUGGGAAUGCGGUUAUUCAAGUUCCAUCAUCACUAAUGCCAUCAUCUUCCAUGAUUGCUUGUCCUCGAGUUUCACCCAAUGGGGUUCCUUAUCUUCCACCGAAACCGAGAACUAGGCAUUUACUGGUCAGAGCUGCAUCCAAUUCCGACGCUGCUCAUGGUCAACCAUCGUCUGAUGAAGGGAAGAAUCCGCUCACGGUUGUUUUGGAUGUGCCCAGGAAUAUAUGGAGACAGACUUUAAAACCUUUGAGUGAUUUUGGGUUUGGUAAGAGAAGUGUUUGGGAAGGUGGGGUUGGUUUGUUCAUUGUCUCUGGAGCUACGCUUCUUGCUCUUAGCUGGGCUUGGUUGCGAGGGUUUCAAAUGCGGUCCAAGUUUAGGAAAUAUCAGACUGUGUUUGAGCUUAGUCAUGCAUCAGGCAUUUGCACGGGAACACCGGUUAGGAUCCGUGGGGUUACUGUUGGUACGAUUAUCCGUGUUAAUCCUUCCUUGAAGAAUAUUGAAGCUGUUGCUGAGAUAGAAGAUGAUAAGAUUAUUAUCCCGAAGAAUUCACUAGUUGAGGUGAAUCAGUCUGGUCUUCUAAUGGAAACUAUGAUCGACAUUAUGCCUAGAAAUCCGAUACCAGAACCUUCAGUAGGACCUCUGCAUCCUGAAUGUGGUAAAGAAGGUCUGAUCGUUUGUGAUAGGCAGACGAUAGAAGGAGUGCAAGGAGUUAGUUUAGAUGAAUUAGUUGGAAUUUUCACUCGUAUUGGACGCGAAGUAGAGGCCAUUGGUGUUGCCAAUACGUAUUCGCUUGCUGAAAGAGCAGCUUCGGUUAUUGAGGAAGCAAGGCCAUUGCUCAAAAAGUGAUGUCACAGAUUCAAGCCAUGGCUGAAGAUGCUCAACCUUUGCUCUCUGAGUUUCGUGAUAGCGGCUUGCUCAAGGAAGUUGAGUGUCUUACUCGAAGCCUUACCCAAGCUUCUGACGAUUUGAGAAAGGUUAAUUCGUCAAUUAUGACACCUGAGAAUACAGAACUCAUACAGAAGUCAAUCUACACUCUGGUUUAUACUUUGAAGAACGUCGAGAGUAUAAGCUCAGAUAUUCUGGGGUUCACAGGCGAUGAAGCCACAAGAAAAAACCUUAAACUACUCAUCAAAUCCCUAAGCAGGCUACUAUGAUCAGCCUGUAGAUUUGUCUGGAAAAUAAAAUCCAGAAUUUUUAAGGUGAGCAAGUUUAAAUUAUUCAACAAGGAAUGUGGUGUUCUUCUUUAGAGUUGAUUUUUUUUUUUUUUCGUUUUGUGUUUGAAUUUGGGUUUUAAUGGAGAGACAAAUUCAGUGUUAUACGAACAAAAAUGUGUGUGUCUCCAUUAAUGCGUUUCCGCAACAGCAUUUACUUUUAACACGGGAGACGACGACGAUGACGAUAAGCGCGUCUCGUUUUCGUGUA